This 1746-nucleotide long non-coding RNA is filed under the name Homo sapiens (human). RNAcentral's name for it is "HSALNT0364709". Lineage: Eukaryota; Metazoa; Chordata; Mammalia; Primates; Hominidae. The record is from RNAcentral.
CGGGAUCUCGGCUCACUGCAAGCUCCUCCUCCUGGAUUCACGCCAUUCUCCUGCCUCAGCCUCCCGAGUAGCUGGGACUACAGGCGCCCGCAACCACGCACGGCUGAUUUUUUUUGUAUUUUUAGUAGAGACGGAGUUUCAUCGUGUUAGCCAGGAUGGUCUCGAUCUCCUGACCUCGUGAUCCGCCCGUCUCGGCCUCCCAAAGUGCUGGGAUUACAGGCGUGAGCCAUUGCGCCCUGCCGAGAAAGAUUUUCUAUUCCUGGUGGAUCCGAGGAGACAGAAAGCUUUUCAAGGGCAAAUGCCUGCCUUGUAUAAAUAUGAAUAACUUCUUAAAGAAGUUACCCUUCUUUAGUUAAGAACUCACUGUGAUGUUAUGUAAAAAGAAUUUGUCUAACAUUCAGAAGGUCUGAGUUUGGGUUACACAGUUAGUAAAUAGUGGUCCACUAAUUCUUUUUUUUCUUUCUUUCUGAGACGGAGUUUCGCUCUGUCUCCCAGGCUGCAGUGCGGUGGCGCGAUCUCGGCUCACUGCAAACUCCGCCUCCCGGGUUCACGCCAUUUUCCUGCCUCAGCCUCCUGAGUAGCUGGGACUACAGGCGCCCGCCACCACGCCCGGCUAAUUUUUUGUAUUUUUAGUAGAGACAGGGUUUUACCGUGUUCGCCAAGAUGGUCUCGAUCUCCUGACCUCUUCGUCCGCCCGCCUUGGCCUCCCAAAGUGCUGGGAUUAGAGGCGUGAGCCACCGCGCCCGGCCGGUCCACUAAUUCUUUUAAACUCUGUAAGGCAUUUUUUUUUCCUGUUUAAAUAUAUAUCGACAUUAGAUAGCUUUGGCUGUGGCAAAGAGGACCUGCUAUUGUAGGUCUGUGGGCUGGCAGUGACUGGGCGGGGCUCAUCUGAGAUUGGCGGGGCUCGGCUCUGUGCCAUGUACUGUCUCAUUCCGGAACAUGGACGGAAGGCGGGGUCGCUGUUGGGCAUGCUGUUCUCAGGAGGGCAAGCAAAGCUCUGGGGCACUGCUUCUGAAAGCCUCUGCUCACAAUCGGCAGCUGACACCUGCAGACAAUCUCCACUGUUGCAAGAUGUCCCUCUUCAUGGAGAGCUGCCUGAAGCUGAGAAGGGUGCGACGGACCUGAAGGCUGCACAGCGCCGGGUCUUACCCAAGGCUCAAGGUGACCGCUGCCUGGUUUCUGCUGGUGUUUAUUCAAAGCCCAAGGGCUCUCCAGUCAGCAAGUGGUGAAUCUAGUCAGACAUGUGUCCUACGCUUCAGGGCAAUGAGCUUCCCCUCAGCCUAAGAGCCUCCUUGCAACAGUUUGCUGAGAAUGAUGGUUUCCAGCUUCAUCCAUGUCCCUACAAAGAUAUGAACUCAUCAUUUUUUAUGGCUGCAUAGUAUUCCAUUGUGUAUAUGUGCCACAUUUUCUUAAUCCAGUCUAUCAUUGUUGGACAUUUGGUUAGUUCCAAGUCUUUGCUAUUGUGAAUAGUGCCGCAAUAAACAUGUGUGCAUGUGUCUUUAUAGCAGCAUGAUUUAUAAUCCUUUGGGUAUAUACCCAGUAAUGGGAUGGCUGGGUCAAAUGGUAUUUCUAGUUCUAGAUCCCUGAGGAAUCGCCACACUGACUUCCACAACGGUUGAACUAGUUUACAGUCCCACCAACAGUGGAAAAGUGUUUCUAUUUCUCCACAUCCUCUCCAGCACCUGUUGUUUCCUGACUUUUUAAUGAUUGCCAUUCUAACUGGUGUGAGAUGGUAUCUCAUUGUGG